ACUACCAGCACCAGUUCAAAUAGUAGUACCAUCACCAUACCACCAACCACCAUUACCAGCACCAGUACCAGUAUCAGCAUAAAUAUUAGGACUACCAAUACCUACUAGCAUCAGCACCAAUAUCAGCAUAAAUAAAAUAAAAAGCAACAUUUGCGAGAUAGAAUCAUCAGGAAUAUCAUGCUCAACAUCUUGAAAAUAACGAAAGCCGUUGGCAAAAAGACGAGAACAACGACGAAGAAGCAAUCGGCCUCUUCAUCAUCGCCCUACGGGUCCCUUGUAAAAGAAGAAAGGGCUGUCACGUUGUUGGAAAACGAGUGAACGAUGUACCAGGAAAUAAGUUCGUGGCAUUUCCAGGAUUCCGAUUAUGAGCUAACAAACGGGGUGGUAGUGAUUUCGUGCGAUUCCAACAGAUAGACCCUUUUUUUAAAAUUAUUCUUCGAAACAAAAAAAAAAAAGAAAAAGAAAAAGAAAAGAAAAAUAGUUUUUCUACGUGUUCAUGUAUUUGUAACUCGGUGUUAAACUACGAUUCGGAAAAUAUCGGACGGAAGGAACCUGGGAUCCUGUCUGCAGGGACUUACGGCCCAUUUCCGGCCCGCCAUAUUGGCGGCAUGGUCCUUUGGGCCAGUUUACUAUUCCUGCAGGGAGCUGGGUUCGCCGGCUCGAUGACGAGCGGUAUUCCGGGAGGGCCGGAAAAUAUAACGGUGAUGUUCCUAAACCCGACCUCCGUCCGUGUUUCUUGGAGCACCAGCCAGGUUGAACAAGUUGAAAAGUACGAUGUUACCUAUAGACCGACGGACGCCAGGUGCGUUCCCAUUAUUUCAAUAUUUAUUCUAUUUUUUUUUAUAAGCAAUAUCCACUUAAUCAUUUUGAAAGUCUUCUUGAU
Molecule: long non-coding RNA, 883 nt
Organism: Polistes canadensis
Lineage: Eukaryota; Metazoa; Arthropoda; Insecta; Hymenoptera; Vespidae
Exons: 4
Source: RefSeq, a predicted model, not a curated record